This 344-nucleotide unclassified non-coding RNA is filed under the name Homo sapiens (human). RNAcentral describes it as "FAM20C golgi associated secretory pathway kinase (ENSG00000288499.1)". The record is from RNAcentral. Lineage: Eukaryota; Metazoa; Chordata; Mammalia; Primates; Hominidae.
ACAGACGUGGCGGGGAUGGCAGGGCAGCGCUGACGUCCUGGAAUUAGUUUUGCUGUAGUUAGAGCUGUCUGUGGUGUCUCCAGAGGGCCGCAUGCGGGUGCUGAAGGUGCAGAAUUCCUCUCCCCCGGGGAGGCGGCCGUGGACUCCUAUCCCAACUGGCUCAAGUUCCACAUUGGUAUCAACCGGUACGAGCUGUACUCCAGACACAACCCGGCCAUCGAGGCCCUGCUGCACGACCUCAGCUCCCAGAGGAUCACCAGCGUGGCCAUGAAGUCGGGGGGCACGCAGCUGAAGCUCAUCAUGACCUUCCAGAAUUACGGGCAAGCGCUGUUCAAACCCAUGAA